GUAUGAAGAAAACAGUUAAAUUCACAUGAGAGAGUUGAACAGUCCUGCAAGUGAUCUGAACAACAACUGCUCUGGAAUGACACAAAGACUUGUAAAUGACCCUGUAGCUCUGUUUACUCUGGAAAAGAUUCAUCUCUUAUUCCAAGACAACUUCACUGGUAUGACAAUUAAGAUACCUGUGAUUUUUUACACUUGGUACUAGCGGAAGAACCAAAUUUAUUUUAGAGAACAGAUGCUUGGCUCUUCCUGACAGCACUGGAAGAUACAGUAUCAUCCUUGGAAAACAACAAGUAUAAAAGCAUAUAUAAAAAAGAUCAGAAAUCAAAUACUUUUUCUCAAGCUGUUGAAAAUCAAUGUUUUAUAUUAACUACUAAGCAUUUCUGUGUUAUGGGAAAAACAAAUAAAAUAUAAGAAAACAUGAUUUUUAAA
Long non-coding RNA from Vidua macroura (Pin-tailed whydah), 429 nucleotides. RefSeq lists it as uncharacterized. NCBI's taxonomy places the organism in Eukaryota, Metazoa, Chordata, Aves, Passeriformes, Viduidae. The transcript has 4 exons. The record is from RefSeq and is a predicted model, not a curated record.